Molecule: ribosomal RNA, 468 nt
Filed under: uncultured bacterium
Lineage: Bacteria
Description: partial 16S ribosomal RNA
Rfam family: Bacterial small subunit ribosomal RNA
Source: RNAcentral
GACGAACGCUGGCGGCGUGCUUAACACAUGCAAGUCGAACGGAAAGGCCCUGCUUUUGUGGUGUGCUCGAGUGUCGAACGGGUGAGUAACACGUGAGUAACCUCCCCUUGACUUUGGGAUAACUUCAUUAAACUGGGGCUAAUACCGGAUAUGAGCUCCUGCGGCAUGGUGGGUGUUGGAAAGUUUCGGCGUUUGGGGAUGGAAUCGAGGCUUUUCAGCUUGUUGGUGGGGUAGUGGCUUACCAAGGCUUUGACGGGUGGCCGGCCUGAGAGGGUGACCGGCCCCAUUGGGACUCGGAAGGGGGCAAGACUCCUACGGGAGGAAGCAGUGGGGCAUAUUGCACACUGGGCGGAAGCCUGAAGCAGGAACGCCGCGUGCGGGAUCACGGUCUUCGGUUUGUAACCCGUGUUCGCCUGGGACGAAGAGUGAGUGACGGUAACGGGUAAAGAAGCACCGGCUAACUACGUG